This 260-nucleotide ribosomal RNA is filed under the name uncultured bacterium. RNAcentral describes it as "partial 16S ribosomal RNA". It matches the Rfam family "Bacterial small subunit ribosomal RNA", at positions 524 to 784 of the family's 1533-position model. The record is from RNAcentral.
UACGUAGGGUGCAAGCGUUAAUCGGAAUUACUGGGCGUAAAGCGUGCGCAGGCGGUUAUGUAAGACAGAUGUGAAAUCCCCGGGCUCAACCUGGGAACUGCAUUUGUGACUGCAUAGCUAGAGUACGGUAGAGGGGAUGGAAUUCCGCGUGUAGCAGUGAAAUGCGUAGAUAUGCGGAGGAACACCGAUGGCGAAGGCAAUCCCCUGGACCUGUACUGACGCUCAUGCACGAAAGCGUGGGGAGCAAACGAGGAUACGAA